RNAcentral lists this ribosomal RNA (1436 nucleotides) under uncultured bacterium. RNAcentral's name for it is "bacterial SSU rRNA". It matches the Rfam family "Bacterial small subunit ribosomal RNA". The record is from RNAcentral.
UUAGAGUUUGAUCCUGGCUCAGGAUGAACGCCGGCGGUGUGCCUAAUACAUGCAAGUCGUACGCACUGGCCCAACUGAUUGAUGGUGCUUGCACCUGAUUGACGAUGGAUCACCAGUGAGUGGCGGACGGGUGAGUAACACGUAGGUAACCUGCCCCGGAGCGGGGGAUAACAUUUGGAAACAGAUGCUAAUACCGCAUAACAACAAAAGCCACAUGGCUUUUGUUUGAAAGAUGGCUUUGGCUAUCACUCUGGGAUGGACCUGCGGUGCAUUAGCUAGUUGGUAAGGUAACGGCUUACCAAGGCGAUGAUGCAUAGCCGAGUUGAGAGACUGAUCGGCCACAAUGGAACUGAGACACGGUCCAUACUCCUACGGGAGGCAGCAGUAGGGAAUCUUCCACAAUGGGCGCAAGCCUGAUGGAGCAACACCGCGUGAGUGAAGAAGGGUUUCGGCUCGUAAAGCUCUGUUGUUGGAGAAGAACGUGCGUGAGAGUAACUGUUCACGCAGUGACGGUAUCCAACCAGAAAGUCACGGCUAACUACGUGCCAGCAGCCGCGGUAAUACGUAGGUGGCAAGCGUUAUCCGGAUUUAUUGGGCGUAAAGCGAGCGCAGGCGGUUGUUUAGGUCUGAUGUGAAAGCCUUCGGCUUAACCGAAGAAGUGCAUCGGAAACCGGGCGACUUGAGUGCAGAAGAGGACAGUGGAACUCCAUGUGUAGCGGUGGAAUGCGUAGAUAUAUGGAAGAACACCAGUGGCGAAGGCGGCUGUCUGGUCUGCAACUGACGCUGAGGCUCGAAAGCAUGGGUAGCGAACAGGAUUAGAUACCCUGGUAGUCCAUGCCGUAAACGAUGAGUGCUAGGUGUUGGAGGGUCUCCGCCCUUCAGUGCCGGAGCUAACGCAUUAAGCACUCCGCCUGGGGAGUACGACCGCAAGGUUGAAACUCAAAGGAAUUGACGGGGGCCCGCACAAGCGGUGGAGCAUGUGGUUUAAUUCGAAGCUACGCGAAGAACCUUACCAGGUCUUGACAUCUUGCGCUAACCUUAGAGAUAAGGCGUUCCCUUCGGGGACGCAAUGACAGGUGGUGCAUGGUCGUCGUCAGCUCGUGUCGUGAGAUGUUGGGUUAAGUCCCGCAACGAGCGCAACCCUUGUUACUAGUUGCCAGCAUUAAGUUGGGCACUCUAGUGAGACUGCCGGUGACAAACCGGAGGAAGGUGGGGACGACGUCAGAUCAUCAUGCCCCUUAUGACCUGGGCUACACACGUGCUACAAUGGCGUAAACAAAGGGAAGCGAAGGAGUGAUCCGGAGCAAAUCUCAGAAAUAACGUCUCAGUUCGGAUUGUAGUCUGCAACUCGACUACAUGAAGCUGGAAUCGCUAGUAAUCGCGGAUCAGAAUGCCGCGGUGAAUACGUUCCCGGGUCUUGUACACACCGCCCGUCA